GUUACGAUGCCGGAGUGGUCUAACGGGCAAGUCCAUAUAACUUGAUUUCGUCGGGUCGAAUCCGACUCGUAGCA
This 74-nucleotide transfer RNA is filed under the name Glarea lozoyensis 74030. Its description in RNAcentral is "tRNA-Tyr (ATA) (tRNA-Tyr-ATA-1-1)". The record is from RNAcentral. Lineage: Eukaryota; Fungi; Ascomycota; Leotiomycetes; Helotiales; Helotiaceae.